RNAcentral lists this transfer RNA (76 nucleotides) under Acidobacteriota bacterium. RNAcentral's name for it is "Acidobacteria bacterium (soil metagenome) tRNA-Arg". It matches the Rfam family "tRNA". From Rfam's summary of the family: Transfer RNA (tRNA) molecules are approximately 80 nucleotides in length. Lineage: Bacteria; Pseudomonadati; Acidobacteriota. The record is from RNAcentral.
GGGCCUGUAGCUCAGACGGAACAAGAGCGUCUGUCUUCUAAACAGAGGGUCGCAGGUUCGAGUCCUGCCAGGCCCG